AAAGCUCAAAAUAGCAAAAGAAAAACACAAGGGGAAAAAAUUAAAGGUACCAGUUUAUUGACAGUCCCAGAUUGGACAUAAACAUACACUUUUCCAUAUUAUAUUUCUUCUUUACAGAGGUCAGUCGAAGAAGGCAGAUCUGGUCUAUAAGGUUUAACCUAGAGAAUUCAUGAUAGCCCUAAGGCACCUCCCUCCAAGAGAGGUCGAUAUCCC
RNAcentral lists this long non-coding RNA (213 nucleotides) under Manihot esculenta (cassava). RNAcentral describes it as "long non-coding RNA (MESC_LNC001465)". Lineage: Eukaryota; Viridiplantae; Streptophyta; Magnoliopsida; Malpighiales; Euphorbiaceae. The record is from RNAcentral.